This 706-nucleotide unclassified non-coding RNA is filed under the name Hevea brasiliensis (rubber tree). Lineage: Eukaryota; Viridiplantae; Streptophyta; Magnoliopsida; Malpighiales; Euphorbiaceae. The record is from RNAcentral.
UUUUUUUUUUUAAUUAAGAAACUAAAGGUGCUUGACUUUUUUUCUCAACCUGUUUAGUGUUUUUAAAAUGAUUUGGUAAUCUUCAUAGGUGAUCUUUUUUGAGUAGGGUAGAAGAGUUCAUUGGUGGAUGGAAGCUAUUUGGGAACUUGGUUUGUGGAGCACUUGAGUUGUGGUAGAUAUGGAUCUGUUGGUGAAGACUAAUGCCUGAACAAUUGUUAAAAAAAAUGAGAAUUUGCUAAAUUGUUAAUAUUUUGGUGUCUGUGUGUGAGCUAUUUGUAUGGCGCUUAUAGUUUCUUUAGCACUAAUGCACGCAUGUAUCCCUCCAAAGCAAGGGAGAUGACAUAAUUCUUUUCAUUCAUAGUGUACAAUUUCACUUGGCUUUGCCUUUGGGAGCAAAUAAAUUCAAUAAUUGUUUUAGAAACAUUAUAGAUAUACACAUAUAAAAUUAAUAAAAUUCACUUUUGAAAACAUUGAUGUUAUGGUUAUAAAAGACUCUAUACAUAGUAUGGAAAAUUUGAUUAUAAAGUAUGUGUUAGACUCCAGAAAUUGACUUUUGGGCAUGAGAGUUGUUUGCAUAGGUUAAUUAUUUUGUACAUACUUGGUGACUACACAUGAGUUGGCAAAAAGUAGAUUCUCAUAGCUUCCUGAAGUUGCAAAAUCGGUAGAAAUAUUACAUGAUUUACAUUCCUAUAUAGAGCUUGUUUGG